UGAUAAUGGAGGAUAGCAGAAGAACAUUAUGUGGUAACAGCCUCGAUGACAAACCCACCACAACAUCGAUCACGAACCCACUGAACCUUUUUUUUGUCUAUGUUACUGUGAACGACAAGGUAAUCAUCAAAAGUGGAUGGUCAGCAUUGAAUCCUUUAAUCGUUUGUGAAGGGUCCAACCUCGCCACAUUUCUAACAGGGAUUGCGACAUGUUUCUCCACCUUCUAUAUUCUGAAUCUGCAAUAUCAGGAGGAGGCAGCGUGCACCCUUGAAUUCUUCCAGAGAAAAAGGCCCAGAAGAAGCCUAAGAACAAUCACUAAUAAGUAAAGUGAAUGUUACUUGAUUUCUCAUGAAUGUUACUUGAUUCCCUCCCUGAUUAUCAUUUAUACUCAUCUCU
Long non-coding RNA from Alosa alosa (allis shad), 396 nucleotides. RefSeq lists it as uncharacterized. The record is from RefSeq and is a predicted model, not a curated record. Lineage: Eukaryota; Metazoa; Chordata; Actinopteri; Clupeiformes; Clupeidae. The transcript is spliced from 3 exons.